This 104-nucleotide long non-coding RNA is filed under the name Chinchilla lanigera (long-tailed chinchilla). Its description in RNAcentral is "lncRNA (ENSCLAG00000022642.1)". Lineage: Eukaryota; Metazoa; Chordata; Mammalia; Rodentia; Chinchillidae. The record is from RNAcentral.
CUGAGCGUCAGUGCUCAGGGCAAUAUGAGUAUUAUGGUCGACAUGCACUUGGGUGGAGGCUCAGAAAUUGUUGUGAGGUAGAGCUUGGCUUCCGGCGCCUGGUA